CGGAGCUCGGGCUAACUCCACUUCCGGUGUUUGCUCUGGCGGCGUCGGAGCCGGGGCUGCGUUGGGCGGUGCGAAGAGAGGCCCUGCUGCCAGCGAAGACUGUGGAUUAAGACGUGCAGAAAGUAACUGAUCUUCUCGGUCUGAAGUAGGUAUGAGUGAUUUCAGCGAAGACUUGCUGAGGCCCACGCCAGAGGAUGACCCAGCAGAAACCAGUGUCCGCCCUCGUUCAGGAAUGUGUCUUCCUUGGCUCCAAAAGCAAGUAGAAAGUGUGGCGACCCGAGGGAAAAAGGAGAAGGAUUUUGCUCAGACGACAAGUGCCUGUUUAAGUUUCAUCCAAGAAGCCCUGCUGAAGCAUCAGUGGCAGCGAGCAGCCGAGUUCAUGCACAGCUGCCUCCAGAUCCUGGAAGACUCGGACAGCCACAAGAGGCAGGCUGCGCCCGAGAUUAUUUGGAAACUCGGAAGUGAAAUUCUCUAUUAUCACCCCAAAAGCAGUGUGGAGACUUUUAAUACCUUUGCAGACAGGAUGAAAAACAUUGGCGUCAUGAAUUACUUAACGAUCUCCUUGCAACACGCGUUGUACCUCCUGCAUCACGGGAUGUUCGACGACGCCAGCAGAAAUCUCAGCCAGGCGGAGACGUGGAGAUACGGUGAAAAGUCGUCUUCCCAGGAGGCGUUAAUCAACCUCGUUCAGGCCUAUAAAGGGCUCCUGCAAUAUUACACUUGGUCUAAGAAGAAGAAGGAACUGUCCGAGCUUGAUGAGGAUGACUAUGCUUACAGCACAGCAUCUCAGAACAUGUUCAAGCACAGCUGGAAGACGUCCGUCAGCUUCUCUGCAUUGGUUCAGACGCCUGGCGUUUGGGACCCUUUUGUGAAGAGCUAUGUAGAGAUGCUGGAAUUCUAUGGGGAUCAAGAUGGGGCCCGAGAGGUCCUCACUAACUAUGCCUACGACGAAAAGUUCCCAUCCAACCCGAACGCGCACGUCUACUUGUACAACUUCCUGAAGAGGGAGAAGGCACCAAGAGAGAAACUGAUAAGUGUGCUUAAGAUUUUGUAUCAGAUUGUGCCGUCUCAUACACUGAUGUUAGAAUUCCAUAGGUUACUGAGGAAAUCAGACAAAGAAGAGCACCAUAAACUGGGGCUGGAGGUACUAUUCGGUGUCUUAGAUUUUGCUGGAUGCACUAAAAACCUGACUGCUUGGCAAUAUUUGGCAAAAUAUCUCAGACAGAUCUUAAUGGGAAGUCACCUUGCCUGGGUUCAGGACGAGUGGAACUCCAGGAAAAACUGGUGGCCAGGCUUUCACUUCAGCUCCUUUUGGGCAAAAAGUGAUUGGAAGGAGGACAAAGCUUUGGCUUAUGAGAAAGCUUUUGUAGCUGGAAUAUUGUUAGGAAAAGCAAGAUGUGACUAUCAACAAACAAGAACCCAACCUUCUGAUAAACAUCUGAGACAAGAAGGUGCCUCACAGAACCAGCAUAACCAAGUUACAGCUACCACCGCAAGGGGCCAGCCUUGUGUCAAAUGCGCACACUAACUGCACAGCAAGGGCAGUGAGAAUCCACAACUGACAUUGCUUUAGGUCCGUGAAAAUUGAAGCCAGUUUCGUGAUCGAUAAUUGACAACACUUACCAAGCACCUUGGGCUUUACCUUUCGUCAUGGCGUCACCACAAAUCCUCUGAAUCAUCCCUCGCUUACCAAGGAAGGAAGUCUGGUCCUCAGAGAACAGACAUUCAGGACCAGCGAAGUGCUGCCCCUUCUGUGAGAAGUGGGGGUGUUUUUCCUGCCUGGGUGGGACCCAUUUCCUCCCGGCCCUUGGGACACUUCACCUCCCUGCACACACCCUGCGCACAGGAAGGCAAAAUAACCACCCAGCGUGUGCUUCUGCAGAGCUGCAGUCCAGCAAGCCAAGAUGAACCUGUGAACUGCCACGCGUCCAUCCCCACCCGGAAACCAUCCUCACACGCCCCACAAUAUUUUGAAUAUAAUUUUUAAAAACCUGCCGCUUGUGUCUACAGAUGCUUACGGCAUAUAAAGGUCCAUGCAUCACUCCCAAAGCCAGUCAAUUUAAAGAAUAUGUUCUCUUGCCCUGACUGGUUUGGCUCAAUGG
RNA transcript from Myotis myotis, 2102 nucleotides. It is a transcript of the gene named TATA-box binding protein associated factor, RNA polymerase I subunit A, with no coding region annotated. The record is from RefSeq and is a predicted model, not a curated record. The transcript is spliced from 12 exons. NCBI's taxonomy places the organism in Eukaryota, Metazoa, Chordata, Mammalia, Chiroptera, Vespertilionidae.